RNAcentral lists this ribosomal RNA (253 nucleotides) under uncultured bacterium. Its description in RNAcentral is "partial 16S ribosomal RNA". It matches the Rfam family "Bacterial small subunit ribosomal RNA", at positions 524 to 776 of the family's 1533-position model. The record is from RNAcentral.
UACGUAGGGGGCCAGCGUUGUCCGGAAUCAUUGGGCGUAAAGCGCGCGUAGGCGGCCAGAUAAGUCCGGUGUGAAAGUCACAGGCUCAACCUGUGAAUGCCGCUGGAAACUAUCUGGCUAGAGUCCGGAAGGGGCGAGUGGAAUUCCUGGUGUAGCGGUGAAAUGCGCAGAUAUCAGGAAGAACACCCGUGGCGAAGGCGGCUCUCUGGGACGGUACUGACGCUGAGACGCGAAAGCGUGGGGAGCGAACAGG